UACGUAGGGAGCGAGCGUUGUCCGGAAUUACUGGGUGUAAAGGGAGUGUAGGCGGGAUGGUAAGUUAGGUGUGAAAACUAUGGGCUUAACCCAUAGACUGCACUUAAAACUGCUGUUCUUGAGUGAAGUAGAGGUUGGCGGAAUUCCCAGUGUAGCGGUGAAAUGCGUAGAUAUUGGGAGGAACAUCAGUGGCGAAGGCGGCCAACUGGGCUUUUACUGACGCUGAGGCUCGAAAGCGUGGGGAGCAAACAGG
Molecule: ribosomal RNA, 253 nt
Filed under: uncultured bacterium
Lineage: Bacteria
Description: partial 16S ribosomal RNA
Rfam family: Bacterial small subunit ribosomal RNA
Source: RNAcentral